CCCCUACUCUCACCUCUCAUGCUAUAUACAGAGGAUAAAUAUUCGAAGGACUUAGUGCAGGAUUAGCAGACUGAGAGGAUGAGCAUCGCCGCCCAAAUUGUGUUUCUCUUUCUUGUGCUGUCACCAGCGAUCCUGAUGGCCUACUCCUUGCCCUCCGCUUCACAGACAGAUCUGAGCUACCGAGCAGCUGCGUGCCCCUGUGCUAGUCCUCCAUGCCCCUGCGCCUCCCAAGGAUAUGAUUAGAUGGCCCUCAAAGCCACUACGACCACAAGGACACAAGAAAAGACUCGUCGCCAGAACAACUAACACAGACUCAGAACACGACAGGCGAUCGACUUCCUCUUUCUACACGACCAGGAUUGAGGAAGAACCCAAGCACCCAUGAACUUGACACUCACCUCAUGACCACGAGAUUCACGGAGGAGUUAGCCCUUGCUUCGAUUUCCUAUUUCCAAGAAAAUGAUAAUCAAUAAACAAUGAAGGACACACUAUUAAUAUAUAUAAGGAUUCAUCGCUAAUGGUUUUGAUCUUGGUUACAUGUGUACUUGUGACUCUAUGGAAUGGUCUGUCUAAUUUUGUAUUUGGACUUCAUGACGUAUUUAUACAUUGACUGACUGUUCUUAAUUUCAAAAUGUAUAUAUACAUUGAUAAACAACGAACUUAGGAAGGAGAUAUAAGUCGUGGCGUUUCGACAAAAAAACUCGCUCUGUAUAUUACGUACAUCCACGUACCUUCAUGCUCUAGUUACUGAUUAAUCUCUACAACAAGGAAUAAAAAUGAGUCAGAAAGGAAACGAGUAAAACUCUAAGGAAA
This 813-nucleotide long non-coding RNA is filed under the name Penaeus japonicus. Its description in RNAcentral is "uncharacterized LOC122260798". The record is from RNAcentral. Lineage: Eukaryota; Metazoa; Arthropoda; Malacostraca; Decapoda; Penaeidae.